This 741-nucleotide long non-coding RNA is filed under the name Meriones unguiculatus (Mongolian gerbil). Its description in RNAcentral is "lncRNA (ENSMUGG00000020155.1)". The record is from RNAcentral. Lineage: Eukaryota; Metazoa; Chordata; Mammalia; Rodentia; Muridae.
ACAGGACGCAUCUAUUCAAAUGUAAACGUGUUAGGACCCGCUUCGGAGCUUUGUAUCCCGUCCCCCUGCCCCGCCCUUGGCAAUAUUUGACGGGCAUUUCUCACAGCCCACAGUGAUUCACAACUGCACCUUGCUGCUCUUAGGAAUCAUGGCGUCAGUAUCUGUUGUGCGAGCCCUGUGAAAAGGUUGUCUGACCGCCAGAGGGGCGGGACUCACGGUUAAGAGCCAUGGCUUUAGAAGACUAGGGAGAGGUAGGGAAGAAGCUUUUGGAGACAGAAGUGAUGAGGCUCGGGAGGGGAGCACAGGAAGUGACGUCACAAUAGCAAAGGGCAUCUCAGAACUGAGGGGUGGUUUCCUGCAGAAAUCAUGACGCAAAGACCAGUGAGCAUGGGCUCCCAGAAAGCUUCUGGAUCUUAAAUCAGGAAGUUGCCAGUGACCUUUGAGAAGAUGAUUCCCCUAGUCUUCAGGGGAUGUCCAGGUAGGUAUUCAUUGUAACAGACCCAAUCAAGAAGAAUCUGAGUCCAGCACUUUCCAGAAAAGACGAACAGCCCCGAUGCCUCUGUCUGCCUCAGUGUCACUGAGUUCCUGGUUCCUCCAGAGUGCUUCUUCAAGCAUCAGUCAGGUUUCAACAAAGAUCACUUGGACUUGAAGAUGAAAGCCAACAGGGACACAUGCUGAUUAGCCAACUCUGUGGGAAAUCAUGGUUUGACAAUGCUAAAGGCAGCUCCUCCUGAAACUCAU